AACAUUUCACCACAUUAGUUCAAUUAUAAGGCUUCUCUAAACAAAAUGAGCAAGCCAUCUUCGCAUGGCUAUAAUGUAUACAAAGUCGAAAUAUCAUUCUACCUAUAGUCUAUCCUAUACAUGCCUUAAACCAUGAUGAUAUACAAUCUUCUCAGCUCACAUAAUGACUAGAUAGUGUGAUGAUAUCUCUGGCCCUUCCAACUCGAGCUAA
This 211-nucleotide long non-coding RNA is filed under the name Gossypium barbadense (sea-island cotton). Its description in RNAcentral is "long non-coding RNA (GBAR_LNC011423)". The record is from RNAcentral. Lineage: Eukaryota; Viridiplantae; Streptophyta; Magnoliopsida; Malvales; Malvaceae.